Molecule: ribosomal RNA, 412 nt
Filed under: uncultured alveolate
Lineage: Eukaryota
Description: bacterial SSU rRNA
Rfam family: Eukaryotic small subunit ribosomal RNA
Source: RNAcentral
AGAUUCCGGAGAGGGAGCCUGAGAAACGGCUACCACAUCUAAGGAUGGCAGCAGGCGCGCAAAUUACCCAAUCCUGACACAGGGAGGUAGUGACAAGAAAUAACAACACGGGCUUUACAGUUUUGUGAUUGGAAUGAGUAGAAAUUAAGCCUCUUUACAAGUAUCAAUUGGAGGGCAAGUCUGGUGCCAGCAGCCGCGGUAAUUCCAGCUCCAAUAGCGUAUAUUAAAGUUGUUGCAGUUAAAAAGCUCGUAGUUGAAUUGCUGCAGAAUGCGGCAUCUUGCGGCUCUAGGGUUGUCUUGGUGUUUGCUUCUGCUUUCUGGCGGCUGCCUCUUGAUGCUUUAUUGUAUCAGGGGUUGUCGCUGGCGUUUUUACUUUGAGAAAAUUAGAGUGUUUCAAGCAGGCUGUUGCCUU